CUAGCCGCACACCUCCAAUUAAACCAUUGUUCACCUCCAAAAAUCUGAUGCACCGCGAUGCCACCACCGGCUCUCCCCGUUGUCUUGGAGCUAUCACGCCAUGUCAGAGAGAGAGAGCCUCGUCAUCACUGGUCAAACGUCUCACGUGUUGUUGUCUCGCAUCGAACUCGAGAGAUGUAUAUAUGACGUGAGGAGGAGGCGCACAAAGACGGAGCCACCGUCUCACCACCGCCGCACCGAUCAGAUCCACACUGUUGUUAGUCGCAAGCCAUUGGAGGAGGCAGUCAUGUCUCCAGAGAGUCGUGAUAGCCAGAGAUCGUACCAGCCACCGUCAUCAACCGUUAUCUAGCUAAGUGUUGCCUCCUUUGUUACUUGUGCCACAAGUAACGUAUAUACCACAGACCUUAAACGUGUCUUUGCAUGUGUUUAGGUGUAGUGAAUCUUAUGCCAACCUGGAGUUAGUUGCCCAUCAUUUUAAAAUAAGGCGUACAAAGAUUUAUGGAACAAGUUUCGCUCGACACCAUGAUUAGGUUGGAAUCUUUUAAAGUGAUGUUAGGCGAGAUCGUUCCCGAGCUUUUGAUGAGCUAUAUCCAAUAUUUGCUAAGGUGAGACAGAUGAGUAUAUGAUAUUUGGACGGAUUUGGUGCUACUGGACUUUUUAUUCGGAUUUUUAUUUGGGCUUUGGGUGAGUGUAAUUGGGUAUAUGGGCUUUAAUUAUACGAGAUAUUGUUGGUGGCCCGCUGUUCUCCGGAUUGGAGGUGACGGGUGUCAGUCUCCGUAAGAAUAAAACCGGAUUGUAACUCAACAAGGAAUCAUUAGUUUUAACACAAAAGCAACUAGUUUUAAACGUUGAAGCAUACAACACAACCAAUCACAUAGAGUUCAUAAGCAAGCAACACACAUAUAAGCUUAAGUAAAAAAAGUAGGAUAGAGAGUAUAUAUGUGGCUCGAGACUGAAGGGACACACAAUUAUAAA
Molecule: long non-coding RNA, 975 nt
Organism: Brassica oleracea var. oleracea
Lineage: Eukaryota; Viridiplantae; Streptophyta; Magnoliopsida; Brassicales; Brassicaceae
Exons: 2
Source: RefSeq, a predicted model, not a curated record